AUUGAACGCUGGCGGCAUGCUUUACACAUGCAAGUCGAACGGUAACAGGCCGCAAGGUGCUGACGAGUGGCGAACGGGUGAGUAAUGCAUCGGAACGUGCCCAGUCGUGGGGGAUAACUACUCGAAAGAGUAGCUAAUACCGCAUACGAUCUAUGGAUGAAAGCGGGGGACCGUAAGGCCUCGCGCGAUUGGAGCGGCCGAUGUCAGAUUAGGUAGUUGGUGGGGUAAAGGCUCACCAAGCCAACGAUCUGUAGCUGGUCUGAGAGGACGGCCAGCCACACUGGGACUGAGACACGGCCCAGACUCCCACGGGAGGCAGCAGUGGGGAAUUUUGGACAAUGGGCGCAAGCCUGAUCCAGCAAUGCCGCGUGCAGGAAGAAGGCCUUCGGGUUGUAAACUGCUUUUGUACGGAACGAAACGGCUCUGGUUAAUACCCGGGGCUAAUGACGGUACCGUAAGAAUAAGCACCGGCUAACUACGUG
Molecule: ribosomal RNA, 482 nt
Filed under: uncultured bacterium
Lineage: Bacteria
Description: partial 16S ribosomal RNA
Rfam family: Bacterial small subunit ribosomal RNA
Source: RNAcentral